RNAcentral lists this ribosomal RNA (451 nucleotides) under Oxyrrhis marina. RNAcentral describes it as "partial Eukaryotic small subunit ribosomal RNA". It matches the Rfam family "Eukaryotic small subunit ribosomal RNA", at positions 547 to 1015 of the family's 1831-position model. The record is from RNAcentral. Lineage: Eukaryota; Dinophyceae; Oxyrrhinales; Oxyrrhinaceae.
AUUGGAGGGCAAGUCUGGUGCCAGCAGCCGCGGUAAUUCCAGCUCCAAUAGCGUACACUAAAGUUGUUGCAGUUAAAAAGCUCGUAGUCUAAUGUAUGGGAGCUGCGGGGUGGGUGUUUUGCUGGUUUUGCCGGUAAGACAAUACUCGCUCCGCUUCCCGCUAUUUUUGCUCUCUUUUGAAAGCAAAUGUUUCACUGUAAGUAAAACAACUCGCUCAACAGCAAGGUUAUCUUGAUAUGAAUUAGUAUGGGAUGAUGAGAUAGGCUCGGUCCGUAUUUUGUUGGUUUUAGUGGUCUGAGAAUGAUGAAGAGGGACAAUUGGGGGUAUUCGUAUUUACAUGUCAGAGGUGGAAUUCUUGGAUUUUGGAAAGACGAACUAAUGCGAAAGCAUCUACCAAAGAUGUUUUCAUUGAUCAAGAACGAAAGUUUGGGGAUCGAAGAUGAUUAGAUAC